CCUACGGGUGGCAGCAGUCGAGAAUCAUUCACAAUGGGGGAAACCCUGAUGGUGCGACGCCGCGUGGGGGAAUGAAGGUCUUCGGAUUGUAAACCCCUGUCAUGUGGGAGCAAAUUAAAAAGAUAGUACCACAAGAGGAAGAGACGGCUAACUCUGUGCCAGCAGCCGCGGUAAUACAGAGGUCUCAAGCGUUGUUCGGAAUCACUGGGCGUAAAGCGUGCGUAGGCUGUUUCGUAAGUCGUGUGUGAAAGGCGCGGGCUCAACCCGCGGACGGCACAUGAUACUGCGAGACUAGAGUAAGGGAGGGGGAACCGGAAUUCUCGGUGUAGCAGUGAAAUGCGUAGAUAUCGAGAGGAACACUCGUGGCGAAGGCGGGUUCCUGGACAUUAACUGACGCUGAGGCACGAAGGCCAGGGGAGCGAAAGGGAUUAGAGACCCCAGUAGUC
This 446-nucleotide ribosomal RNA is filed under the name uncultured bacterium. Its description in RNAcentral is "partial 16S ribosomal RNA". It matches the Rfam family "Bacterial small subunit ribosomal RNA", at positions 338 to 795 of the family's 1533-position model. The record is from RNAcentral.